This 253-nucleotide ribosomal RNA is filed under the name uncultured bacterium. RNAcentral describes it as "partial 16S ribosomal RNA". It matches the Rfam family "Bacterial small subunit ribosomal RNA", at positions 524 to 776 of the family's 1533-position model. The record is from RNAcentral.
UACGUAGGGGGCUAGCGUUGUCCGGAAUCAUUGGGCGUAAAGAGCGUGUAGGCGGUCCGGUAAGUCCGUUGUGAAAGUCAGGGGCUCAACCCUUGAAUGCCGGCGGAUACUGUCGGGCUAGAGUCCGGAAGAGGCAAGUGGAAUUCCCGGUGUAGCGGUGAAAUGCGCAGAUAUCGGGAGGAACACCAGUAGCGAAGGCGGCUCGCUGGGCCGUUCCUGACGCUGAGACGCGAAAGCUAGGGGAGCGAACAGG